This 572-nucleotide ribosomal RNA is filed under the name uncultured bacterium. Its description in RNAcentral is "bacterial SSU rRNA". It matches the Rfam family "Bacterial small subunit ribosomal RNA", at positions 38 to 602 of the family's 1533-position model. The record is from RNAcentral.
UGCGGCAGGCUUAAUACAUGCAAGUCGAGGGGCCAGCAUGGUGUAGCAAUACACUGAUGGCGACCGGCAAACGGGUGCGGAACACGUACAGAACCUUCCUUCGAGCGGGGAAUAGCCCAGAGAAAUUUGGAUUAAUACCCCAUAGUAUAGCGGAGAGGCAUCUCUCUGUUAUUAAAGAUUUAUCACUUGAAGAUGGCUGUGCGGCUGAUUAGGUAGUUGGCGGGGUAACGGCCCACCAAGCCUGCGAUCAGUAACUGGUGUGAGAGCACGACCAGUCACACGGGCACUGAGACACGGGCCCGACUCCUACGGGAGGCAGCAGUAAGGAAUAUUGGUCAAUGGACGAAAGUCUGAACCAGCCAUGCCGCGUGGAGGAUGAAGGUCCUCUGGAUUGUAAACUUCUUUUAUAUGGGACGAAAAAAGGUCUUUCUAGAUCGUCUGACGGUACCAUAUGAAUAAGCACCGGCUAACUCCGUGCCAGCAGCCGCGGUAAUACGGAGGGUGCAAGCGUUAUCCGGAUUCACUGGGUUUAAAGGGUGCGUAGGUGGGUUGGUAAGUCAGUGGUGAAAUCC